GACGAACGCUGGCGGCGUGCUUAACACUUGCAAGUCGAACGGAAAGGCCCUGCUUUUGUGGGGUGCUCGAGUGGCGAACGGGUGAGUAACACGUGAGUAACCUGCCCUUGACUUUGGGAUAACUUCAGGAAACUGGGGCUAAUACCGGAUAGGAGCUCCUGCUGCAUGGUGGGGGUUGGAAAGUUUCGGCGGUUGGGGAUGGACUCGCGGCUUAUCAGCUUGUUGGUGGGGUAGUGGCUUACCAAGGCUUUGACGGGUAGCCGGCCUGAGAGGGUGACCGGCCACAUUGGGACUGAGAUACGGCCCAGACUCCUACGGGGGGCAGCAGUGGGGAAUAUUGCACAAUGGGCGGAAGCCUGAUGCAGCAACGCCGCGUGCGGGAUGACGGCCUUCGGGUUGUAAACCGCUUUCGCCUGUGACGAAGCGUGAGUGACGGUAAUGGGUAAAGAAGCACCGGCUAACUACGUG
Molecule: ribosomal RNA, 468 nt
Filed under: uncultured bacterium
Lineage: Bacteria
Description: partial 16S ribosomal RNA
Rfam family: Bacterial small subunit ribosomal RNA
Source: RNAcentral